CAUCUUGGCGGCUCCUUAUAUGCAAGUUGAGCGGACAGAUGGGUAGCUUGCUCCCUAUGUUAGCGGCGGACGGGUGAGUAACACGUGGGUAACCUGCCUGUAAGACUGGGAUAACUCCGGGAAACCGGGGCUAAUACCGGAUGGUUGUCUGAACCGCAUGGUUCAGACAUAAAAGGUGGCUUCGGCUACCACUUACAGAUGGACCCGCGGCGCAUUAGCUAGUUGGUGAGGUAACGGCUCACCAAGGCGACGAUGCGUAGCCGACCUGAGAGGGUGAUCGGCCACACUGGGACUGAGACACGGCCCAGACUCCUACGGGAGGCAGCAGUAGGGAAUCUUCCGCAAUGGACGAAAGUCUGACGGAGCAACGCCGCGUGAGUGAUGAAGGUUUUCGGAUCGUAAAGCUCUGUUGUUAGGGAAGAACAAGUGCCGUUCAAAUAGGGCGGCACCUUGACGGUACCUAACCAGAAAGCCACGGCUAACUACGUGCCAGCAGCCGCGGUAAUACGUAGGUGGCAAGCGUUGUCCGGAAUUAUUGGGCGUAAAGGGCUCGCAGGCGGUUUCUUAAGUCUGAUGUGAAAGCCCCCGGCUCAACCGGGGAGGGUCAUUGGAAACUGGGGAACUUGAGUGCAGAAGAGGAGAGUGGAAUUCCACGUGUAGCGGUGAAAUGCGUAAGAUGUGGAAGGAACACCAGUGGCGAAGGCGACUCUCUGGUCUGUACUGACGCUGAGAGCGAAAGCGUGGGGAGCGAACAGGAUUAGAUACCCUGGUAUCCACCCGUAACGAUGAGUGCUAA
Molecule: ribosomal RNA, 796 nt
Filed under: Bacillus sp. Bac27W1
Lineage: Bacteria; Bacillati; Bacillota; Bacilli; Caryophanales; Bacillaceae
Description: bacterial SSU rRNA
Rfam family: Bacterial small subunit ribosomal RNA
Source: RNAcentral